Amblyraja radiata (thorny skate) is the source of this 478-nucleotide long non-coding RNA. RefSeq lists it as uncharacterized. The transcript has 3 exons. The record is from RefSeq and is a predicted model, not a curated record. Lineage: Eukaryota; Metazoa; Chordata; Chondrichthyes; Rajiformes; Rajidae.
UCGAUGUUUCUGCUCACCAACACUUUACCUUGAUUAUCAACGCGUUACCAUUUUGCAUCUUGUUCACAAAGGUUGAACUGUUAAAUUCAAGUCUUGCAUGUCAGUAAGUUAAACCCAACCGUGUCUCCGGCAGCUGCAGAUAUUAGUGGCAGGGGAUCACCGAUCGGCUUUUACCAGGCAAUUUAUGAAGAGAUUGAGGAUAUUCCUGCUGCCAACAAUUUCAGUCAGACACAUGAUUCAGACUCUGGUUCCAUUCAUUCCAUCAAUCAACUCGAAUAUUACACCAGCGACCCUCUGGAUGGUCCUCUUCUUGCACAAGAACAUCCCGAAGGAAACUCCUCGAGUGUUCACGACCUGAUUCCUGACGACUAUGACGAUGCCGAGAGUAAAACCAUCGCUUCUCCGGGCUGUCAGUUCCCAAUGAGCGCUGGCGACGAUGACCUUCUGAAAAUCACAGUUGCCGGCGAUGAUGUCGACA